RNAcentral lists this ribosomal RNA (724 nucleotides) under uncultured Finegoldia sp. Its description in RNAcentral is "bacterial SSU rRNA". It matches the Rfam family "Bacterial small subunit ribosomal RNA", at positions 65 to 791 of the family's 1533-position model. The record is from RNAcentral. Lineage: Bacteria; Bacillati; Bacillota; Tissierellia; Tissierellales; Peptoniphilaceae.
AACGGGAUUUAGUAGACAGAAGCUUCGGUGGAAGAUUACUAAUGAGAGUGGCGAACGGGUGAGUAACGCGUGAGCAACCUGCCUAUGGCAGUGGGAUAGCCUCGGGAAACCGGGAUUAAUACCGCAUAAAAUCGUAGAAACACAUGUUUUAACGGUCAAAGAUUUAUCGGUCAUAGAUGGGCUCGCGUCUGAUUAGCUAGUUGGUGAGAUAACAGCCCACCAAGGCGACGAUCAGUAGCCGGUCUGAGAGGAUGAACGGCCACAUUGGAACUGAGACACGGUCCAAACUCCUACGGGAGGCAGCAGUGGGGAAUAUUGCACAAUGGGGGAAACCCUGAUGCAGCGACGCCGCGUGAACGAAGAAGGUAUUCGUAUCGUAAAGUUCUGUCCUAUGGGAAGAUAAUGACAGUACCAUAGAAGAAAGCUCCGGCUAAAUACGUGCCAGCAGCCGCGGUAAUACGUAUGGAGCGAGCGUUGUCCGGAAUUAUUGGGCGUAAAGGGUACGCAGGCGGUUUAAUAAGUCGAAUGUUAAAGAUCGGGGCUCAACCCCGUAAAGCAUUGGAAACUGAUAAACUUGAGUAGUGGAGAGGAAAGUGGAAUUCCUAGUGUAGUGGUGAAAUACGUAGAUAUUAGGAGGAAUACCAGUAGCGAAGGCGACUUUCUGGACACAAACUGACGCUGAGGUACGAAAGCGUGGGGAGCAAACAGGAUUAGAUACCCUGGU